AUUGAACGCUGGCGGCAGGCUUAACACAUGCAAGUCGAACGAUGAUUAUCUAGCUUGCUAGAUAUGAUUAGUGGCGGACGGGUGAGUAACAUUUAGGAAUCUGCCUAGUAGUGGGGGAUAGCUCGGGGAAACUCGAAUUAAUACCGCAUACGACCUACGGGUGAAAGGGGGCGCAAGCUCUUGCUAUUAGAUGAGCCUAAAUCAGAUUAGCUAGUUGGUGGGGUAAAGGCCCACCAAGGCGACGAUCUGUAACUGGUCUGAGAGGAUGAUCAGUCACACCGGAACUGAGACACGGUCCGGACUCCUACGGGAGGCAGCAGUGGGGAAUAUUGGACAAUGGGGGCAACCCUGAUCCAGCCAUGCCGCGUGUGUGAAGAAGGCCUUUUGGUUGUAAAGCACUUUAAGCAGGGAGGAGAGGCUAAUGGUUAAUACCCAUUAGAUUAGACGUUACCUGCAGAAUAAGCACCGGCUAACUCUGUGCCAGCAGCCGCGGUAAUACAGAGGGUGCGAGCGUUAAUCGGAAUUACUGGGCGUAAAGCGAGUGUAGGUGGCUCAUUAAGUCACAUGUGAAAUCCCCGGGCUUAACCUGGGAACUGCAUGUGAUACUGGUGGUGCUAGAAUAUGUGAGAGGGAAGUAGAAUUCCAGGUGUAGCGGUGAAAUGCGUAGAGAUCUGGAGGAAUACCGAUGGCGAAGGCAGCUUCCUGGCAUAAUAUUGACACUGAGAUUCGAAAGCGUGGGUAGCAAACAGGAUUAGAUACCCUGGUAGUCCACGCCGUAAACGAUGUCUACUAGCCGUUGGGGUCCUUGAGACUUUAGUGGCGCAGUUAACGCGAUAAGUAGACCGCCUGGGGAGUACGGCCGCAAGGUUAAAACUCAAAUGAAUUGACGGGGGCCCGCACAAGCGGUGGAGCAUGUGGUUUAAUUCGAUGCAACGCGAAGAACCUUACCUGGUCUUGACAUAGUGAGAAUCCUGCAGAGAUGCGGGAGUGCCUUCGGGAAUUCACAUACAGGUGCUGCAUGGCUGUCGUCAGCUCGUGUCGUGAGAUGUUGGGUUAAGUCCCGCAACGAGCGCAACCCUUUUCCUUAUUUGCCAGCGGGUUAAGCCGGGAACUUUAAGGAUACUGCCAGUGACAAACUGGAGGAAGGCGGGGACGACGUCAAGUCAUCAUGGCCCUUACGACCAGGGCUACACACGUGCUACAAUGGUAGGUACAGAGGGUUGCUACACAGCGAUGUGAUGCUAAUCUCAAAAAGCCUAUCGUAGUCCGGAUUGGAGUCUGCAACUCGACUCCAUGAAGUCGGAAUCGCUAGUAAUCGCAAAUCAGAAUGCUGCGGUGAAUACGUUCCCGGGCCC
This 1355-nucleotide ribosomal RNA is filed under the name uncultured bacterium. RNAcentral's name for it is "bacterial SSU rRNA". It matches the Rfam family "Bacterial small subunit ribosomal RNA", at positions 28 to 1381 of the family's 1533-position model. The record is from RNAcentral.